Gossypium hirsutum (cotton) is the source of this 86-nucleotide non-coding RNA. The record is from Rfam. Lineage: Eukaryota; Viridiplantae; Streptophyta; Magnoliopsida; Malvales; Malvaceae.
CACGUCGCGCGCUUUGCUGACAUGGACACAAAUCGUGCUUCUGAGGACGUGAUUUGUUGCCAUAUCUGCAAAGCGCGCUGAUGUGG